This 464-nucleotide ribosomal RNA is filed under the name uncultured bacterium. RNAcentral's name for it is "bacterial SSU rRNA". It matches the Rfam family "Bacterial small subunit ribosomal RNA", at positions 338 to 795 of the family's 1533-position model. The record is from RNAcentral.
CCUACGGGUCGCACCAGUGGGGAAUAUUGCACAAUGGGCGCAAGCCUGAUGCAGCCAUGCCGCGUGUAUGAAGAAGGCCUUCGGGUUGUAAAGUACUUUCAGCGAGGAGGAAGGCAUUAAGGUUAAUAACCUUGGUGAUUGACGUUACUCGCAGAAGAAGCACCGGCUAACUCCGUGCCAGCAGCCGCGGUAAUACGGAGGGUGCAAGCGUUAAUCGGAAUUACCGGGCGUAAAGCGCACGCAGGCGGUCUGUCAAGUCGGAUGUGAAAUCCCCGGGCUCAACCUGGGAACUGCAUUCGAAACUGGCAGGCUAGAGUCUUGUAGAGGGGGGUAGAAUUCCAGGUGUAGCGGUGAAAUGCGUAGAGAUCUGGAGGAAUACCGGUGGCGAAGGUGGCCCCCUGGACAAAGACUGACGCUCAGGUGCGAAAGCGUGGGAGCAAGCAGGAUUAGAUACCCUAGUAGUC